Molecule: ribosomal RNA, 467 nt
Filed under: uncultured bacterium
Lineage: Bacteria
Description: partial 16S ribosomal RNA
Rfam family: Bacterial small subunit ribosomal RNA
Source: RNAcentral
GACGAACGCUGGCGGCGUGCUUAACACAUGCAAGUCGAACGGAAAGGCCCUGCUUUUGUGGGGUGCUCGAGUGGCGAACGGGUGAGUAACACGUGAGUAACCUGCCCUUGACUUUGGGAUAACUUCAGGAAACUGGGGCUAAUACCGGAUAGGAGCUCCUGCUGCAUGGUGGGGGUUGGAAAGUUUCGGCGGUUGGGGAUGGACUCGCGGCUUAUCAGCUUGUUGGUGGGGUAGUGGCUUACCAAGGCUUUGACGGGUAGCCGGCCUGAGAGGGUGACCGGCCACAUUGGGACUGAGAUACGGCCCAGACUCCUACGGGAGGCAACAGUGGGGAAUAUUGCACAAUGGGCGGAAGCCUGAUGCAGCAACGCCGCGUGCGGGAUGACGGCCUUCGGGUUGUAAACCGCUUUCGCCUGUGACGAAGCGUGAGUGACGGUAAUGGGUAAAGAAGCACCGGCUAACUAUGU